GAUGAACGCUAGCGGCAGGCCUAAUACAUGCAAGUCGAACGAGAUUAAGAGGCUUGCUUCUUAUGAAAGUGGCGCACGGGUGCGUAACGCGUAUGCAACCUACCUUAAUCAGGGGGAUAGCCCGAAGAAAUUCGGAUUAAGACCGCAUAAAAACACAGGAUAGCAUUAUCCAAUGUUCAAAUAUUUAUAGGAUUAAGAUGGGCAUGCGUGUCAUUAGCUAGUUGGCGGGGUAACGGCCCACCAAGGCGACGAUGACUAGGGGAUCUGAGAGGAUGACCCCCCACACUGGUACUGAGACACGGACCAGACUCCUACGGGAGGCAGCAGUAAGGAAUAUUGGUCAAUGGAGGGAACUCUGAACCAGCCAUGCCGCGUGCAGGAAGACAGCCCUCUGGGUCGUAAACUGCUUUUAUUCGGGAAUAAACCUUUCCACGUGUAGGAAGCUGAAUGUACCGAAGGAAUAAGGAUCGGCUAACUCCGUG
This 482-nucleotide ribosomal RNA is filed under the name uncultured bacterium. RNAcentral describes it as "partial 16S ribosomal RNA". It matches the Rfam family "Bacterial small subunit ribosomal RNA", at positions 28 to 507 of the family's 1533-position model. The record is from RNAcentral.